UGGGGAAUAUUGGACAAUGGGCGAAAGCCUGAUCCAGCCAUGCCGCGUGUGUGAAGAAGGUCUUCGGAUUGUAAAGCACUUUAAGUUGGGAGGAAGGGCAUUAACCUAAUACGUUAGUGUUUUGACGUUACCGACAGAAUAAGCACCGGCUAACUCUGUGCCAGCAGCCGCGGUAAUACAGAGGGUGCAAGCGUUAAUCGGAAUUACUGGGCGUAAAGCGCGCGUAGGUGGUUUGUUAAGUUGGAUGUGAAAUCCCCGGGCUCAACCUGGGAACUGCAUUCAAAACUGACUGACUAGAGUAUGGUAGAGGGUGGUGGAAUUUCCUGUGUAGCGGUGAAAUGCGUAGAUAUAGGAAGGAACACCAGUGGCGAAGGCGACCACCUGGACUAAUACCGACACGGAGGUGCGAAAGCGUGGGGAGCAAACA
This 427-nucleotide ribosomal RNA is filed under the name uncultured bacterium. RNAcentral describes it as "partial 16S ribosomal RNA". It matches the Rfam family "Bacterial small subunit ribosomal RNA", at positions 355 to 774 of the family's 1533-position model. The record is from RNAcentral.